CAAAGAUUAAGCCAUGCAAGUCUAAGUAUAAGCAAUUUAUACAGCGAAACUGCGAAUGGCUCAUUAAAUCAGUUAUGAUCUACAUGACAAAUUUUUUACUACUGGAUAACCGUGGUAAUUCUAGAGCUAAUACAUGCAAAAAAAGCCCCAACUUCGGAAGGGGUGCACUUAUUAGGUAAAAACCAUCCCACCCUUACCGGUGGUUUUAUGGUGAUUCAUAAUAAUUAAGCUGAUCGCAUGGCCUUGCGCCGGCGACGGUACAUUCGAUUUUCUGCCCUAUCAGGCUUAUGAUGGUAAGGUAGUGGCUUACCAUGGCUAUCACGGGUAACGGGGAAUUAGGGUUCGAUUCCGGAGAGGGAGCCUGAGAAACGGCUACCACAUCCAAGGAAGGCAGCAGGCGCGCAAAUUACCCAAUCCCGACACGGUGAGGUAGUGACAAUAAAUAACAAUGCAGGGUCUUUAUGGUCUUUGCAAUUGGAAUGAGUACAAUUUAAAUCCCUUAACGAGGAUCAAUUGGAGGGCAAGUCUGGUGCCAGCAGCCGCGGUAAUUCCAGCUCCAAAAGCGUAUAUUAAAGUUGUUGCAGUUAAAACGUCCGUAGUCGAACUUACGCCUUGUUGGCUGGGCAGCUGGUCAUUCAUUUGGCUAGAUUUGCCUCAGUCCGGGUGACAAAGUUUGGGUAUGAUCAUGUUGGCUUCGGUCGGCGUGGUUCUCUGCCCAAGCGUAUUACCAUGAGCAAAUCAGAAUGCUCAAAGUAGGCCUUCGUGCCUGAAUGUGUUAGCAUGGAAUAAUAAAAUAGGACCUUAGUCUUGUUUUGUUGGUAUACUAGACCUUAGGAAAUGAUGAAUAGGAACGGUUGGGGGCAUUUGUAUUUGGUCGCUAGAGGUGAAAUUCUUGGAUUGACCGAAGACAAACUACUGCGAAAGCAUUUGACCUAGGACGUUUCCAUUGAUCAGGGACUAAAGUUGAGGGAUCGAAGACGAUUAGAUACCGUCGUAGUCUUAACCACAAACUAUGCCGACUAGCGAUUGGAUCCUCGCCACUGGCAGGAUUCAGCAGCUUAGCGAAAGUAAAGUUUUUGGGUUCUGGGGGGAGUAUGGGACGCAAGGCUGAAACUUAAAGGAAUUGACGGAAGGGCACCACCAGGAGUGGAGCCUGCGGCU
This 1161-nucleotide ribosomal RNA is filed under the name Cunninghamella bainieri. RNAcentral describes it as "SSU rRNA". It matches the Rfam family "Eukaryotic small subunit ribosomal RNA", at positions 38 to 1190 of the family's 1831-position model. Lineage: Eukaryota; Fungi; Mucoromycota; Mucoromycetes; Mucorales; Cunninghamellaceae. The record is from RNAcentral.